This 324-nucleotide ribosomal RNA is filed under the name uncultured bacterium. RNAcentral's name for it is "bacterial SSU rRNA". It matches the Rfam family "Bacterial small subunit ribosomal RNA", at positions 28 to 334 of the family's 1533-position model. The record is from RNAcentral.
GAUGAACGCUGGCGGCGUGCUUAACACAUGCAAGUCGAACGAAGCGCUUAAACGGAUUUCUUCGGAAUGAAGUUUUUGCGACUGAGUGGCGGACGGGUGAGUAACGCGUGGGUAACCUGCCUCAUACAGGGGGAUAACAGCUAGAAAUGACUGCUAAUACCGCAUAAGCGCACAGUGCUGCAUGGCACAGUGUGAAAAACUCCGGUGGUAUGAGAUGGACCCGCGUCUGGUUAGCUAGUUGGUGGGGUAACGGCCUACCAAGGCGACGAUGGGUAGCCGGCCUGAGAGGGUGAACGGCCACAUUGGAACUUAGACACGGUCCAA